CAGCCAUGGCACUAACUAGGUGACUCUGGGCCAGUCACAGCCUCUCAGCCCAGCCUACCUCACAGCGUUAUUGUUCUGGGGAGAAGAUUUAGAGCAGGAGGAAGAGAAUGAUGUAGUCCAUUUUAAGUUCUUUAAAAAGGUCAGUCGAUAAAUCUCAUAAAUAAAUAAAUAAAUAAAUAAAUGCCCAGCCCAAGAAGGGACCUGCCUUACUUUGCCUAUUUAUAUGCCUGUAUUUUGUAAAUCUGGAUUUUUCUACUUAAGCUGCCAUUUUCAGUUUGUUGUAGCUCAAAAACUAUUUUGA
Long non-coding RNA from Varanus komodoensis (Komodo dragon), 301 nucleotides. RefSeq lists it as uncharacterized. Lineage: Eukaryota; Metazoa; Chordata; Lepidosauria; Squamata; Varanidae. The transcript has 3 exons. The record is from RefSeq and is a predicted model, not a curated record.